RNAcentral lists this transfer RNA (83 nucleotides) under Schistocephalus solidus. It matches the Rfam family "tRNA". From Rfam's summary of the family: Transfer RNA (tRNA) molecules are approximately 80 nucleotides in length. The record is from Rfam by way of RNAcentral. Lineage: Eukaryota; Metazoa; Platyhelminthes; Cestoda; Diphyllobothriidea; Diphyllobothriidae.
GGCCUCGUAGUUCAGUUGACUAGAGCGUUGGCUCUACUGAAGCAUUUUCCAUGCUGGCGUGGGUUCGAAUCCCGCUGAGACCG